AUGAAGGAAGGUAAAUGUUCAAAAUACUUUCCUAAAGACUUUCGGUGUGAUAUGAUUGUUGAUCAAGAUGGAUAUCCGGUUUAUAGAAGAGGGGACAACGGUCACACUGUCGUUAAGAAUGGAAUCGAUAUUGACAAUAGUACAUCCAUCAAAUAUUUGUUCAUGUACAUCAACAAAGGCUAUGAUAGAAUAAUUGUUGCAGUUGUCAUGAAUCAAGAUGGAAAUUCUAUUCAACAUCAAGUUGUCAAUGAGAUCAAGUAG
Non-coding RNA from Vicia faba (fava bean), 261 nucleotides. The record is from the annotation of a GenBank genome assembly. NCBI's taxonomy places the organism in Eukaryota, Viridiplantae, Streptophyta, Magnoliopsida, Fabales, Fabaceae.